This 65-nucleotide transfer RNA is filed under the name Scolytinae sp. BMNH 1043104. RNAcentral's name for it is "tRNA-Leu". It matches the Rfam family "tRNA". Rfam says of the family: Transfer RNA (tRNA) molecules are approximately 80 nucleotides in length. Lineage: Eukaryota; Metazoa; Arthropoda; Insecta; Coleoptera; Curculionidae. The record is from RNAcentral.
GCUGCUUUGACAGAAUAGUGUGAUAGAUUUAGAAUCUUUUUAUGUAGUUAAAGCUAUAGGUAGUA